GAUGAACGCUGGCGGCGUGCCUAAUACAUGCAAGUCGAGCGAACAGACGAGGAGCUUGCUCCUCUGACGUUAGCGGCGGACGGGUGAGUAACACGUGGAUAACCUACCUAUAAGUCUGGGAUAACUUCGGGAAACCGGAGCUAAUACCGGAUAAUAUAUUGAACCGCAUGGUUCAAUAGUGAAAGACGGUUUUGCUGUCACUUAUAGAUGGCUCCGCGCCGCAUUAGCUAGUUGGUACGGUAACGGCUUACCAAGGCAACGAUGCGUAGCCGACCUGAGAGGGUGAUCGGCCACACGGGAACUGAGACACGGUCCAGACUCCUACGGGAGGCAGCAGUAGGGAAUCUUCCGCAAUGGGCGAAAGCCUGACGGAGCAACGCCGCGUGAGAGAUGAAGGUCUUCGGAUCGGAAAACUCUGUUAUGAGGGAAGAACAAAUGUGUAAGUAACUAUGCACGUCUUGACGGUACCUAAUCAGAAAGCCACGGCUAACUACGUG
Molecule: ribosomal RNA, 497 nt
Filed under: uncultured bacterium
Lineage: Bacteria
Description: partial 16S ribosomal RNA
Rfam family: Bacterial small subunit ribosomal RNA
Source: RNAcentral